CUUAAGCAUAUCAAUAAGCGGAGGAAAAGAAACCANCAGGGAUUGCCCCAGUAACGGCGAGUGAAGCGNCANCAGCUCAAAUUUGAANUCUGCCUCUAGGCCGAGUUGUAAUUUGUAGAAGAUGCUUCGGGUGUGGCACUGGUCUAAGUUCCUUGGANCAGGACGUCAUAGAGGGUGAGANNCCCGUACGUGACUGGCUNCCUUCGCCCAUGUGAAGCUCUUUCGACGAGUCGAGUUGUUUGGGAAUGCAGCUCAAAAUGGGUGGUAUAUUUCAUCUAAAGCUAAAUAUUGGCCAGAGACCGAUAGCGCACAAGUAGAGUGAUCGAAAGAUGAAAAGCACUUUGGAAAGAGAGUUAAACAGUACGUGAAAUUGUUGAAAGGGAAGCGCUUGCAACCAGACUUGCGCGCCGUCGAUCAUCCGAGGUUUUCCCCGGUGCACUCGGCGGUGCUCAGGCCAGCAUCGGUUUCGGUGGUUAGAUAAAGGCCUUGGGAAUGUGACNCCUCCGGGAGUGUUAUAGCCCUCGGUGCAAUGUAGCCUAUCGGGACCGAGGACCGCGCUUCGGCUAGGAUGCUGGCGUAAUGGUUGUAAGCGACC
Molecule: ribosomal RNA, 595 nt
Filed under: uncultured fungus
Lineage: Eukaryota; Fungi
Description: eukaryotic LSU rRNA
Rfam family: Eukaryotic large subunit ribosomal RNA
Source: RNAcentral